This 404-nucleotide ribosomal RNA is filed under the name Actinomycetes bacterium. RNAcentral describes it as "Actinobacteria bacterium partial 16S ribosomal RNA". It matches the Rfam family "Bacterial small subunit ribosomal RNA", at positions 355 to 776 of the family's 1533-position model. Lineage: Bacteria; Bacillati; Actinomycetota; Actinomycetes. The record is from RNAcentral.
UGGGGAAUAUUGGACAAUGGGCGCAAGCCUGAUCCAGCCAUGCCGCGUGAGUGAUGAAGGCCCUAGGGUUGUAAAGCUCUUUCACCGGUGAAGAUAAUGACGGUAACCGGAGAAGAAGCCCCGGCUAACUUCGUGCCAGCAGCCGCGGUAAUACGAAGGGGGCUAGCGUUGUUCGGAUUUACUGAGCGUAAAGCGCACGUAGGCGGACUAUUAAGUCAGGGGUGAAAUCCCGGGGCUCAACCCCGGAACUGCCUUUGAUACUGGUAGUCUUGAGUUCGAGAGAGGUGAGUGGAAUUCCGAGUGUAGAGGUGAAAUUCGUAGAUAUUCGGAGGAACACCAGUGGCGAAGGCGGCUCACUGGCUCGAUACUGACGCUGAGGUGCGAAAGCGUGGGGAGCAAACAGG